RNAcentral lists this ribosomal RNA (474 nucleotides) under uncultured bacterium. RNAcentral describes it as "bacterial SSU rRNA". It matches the Rfam family "Bacterial small subunit ribosomal RNA", at positions 36 to 524 of the family's 1533-position model. The record is from RNAcentral.
CAACCUGGCGGCGUGCUUACCAUGCAAGUCGAGCGGAAAGGCCACUUCGGUGGUACUCGAGCGGCGAACGGGUGAGUAACACGUGAGUAAUCUGCCCUCCACUUUGGGAUAGCCACCGGAAACGGUGAUUAAUACCGGAUAUGACCUGCGCCCGCAUGGGUGUGGGUGGAAAGUUUUUCGGUGGGAGAUGUGCUCGCGGCCUAUCGGCUUGAUGGUGGGGUAAUGGCCUACCAUGGCUUCGACGGGUAGCCGGCCUGAGAGGGUGACCGGCCACACUGGGACUGAGACACGGCCCAGACUCCUACGGGAGGCAGCAGUGGGGAAUAUUGGACAAUGGGCGGAAGCCUGAUCCAGCAACGCCGCGUGAGGGAUGACGGCCUUCGGGUUGUAAACCACUUUCGCCUGCGACGAAGCGAAAGUGACGGUAGCAGGUAAAGAAGCACCGGCCAACUACGUGCCAGCAGCCGCGGUAAU